This 2490-nucleotide long non-coding RNA is filed under the name Homo sapiens (human). Its description in RNAcentral is "HSALNT0324761". The record is from RNAcentral. Lineage: Eukaryota; Metazoa; Chordata; Mammalia; Primates; Hominidae.
GCUAUUAUAAAAAAAAAAGACAGCCAGCUCACCUAAUAGGCCUUUUAUUUGCUAAUCAAACCUCUCAUUAACAAUUAAUUGGAUCAAAAGUUCAUAGGCCAUUAUUGCUGUGUCAAUUAGAUGCGUAGGCCUCGGAGUCUGAAACGGAAUGACCUGCUCGGGUGAUAAAUAAUUUCCAACAGCGACUCGCCUUACUGCAGGCCGCCUGUGUGGAGGUCACCAUCCCGGCCUCAGCGGCCAGCACAGGCUGUCCUGAUGACAAGAAAAGAUGCAGUCUCUCUUAUCGCACAUGCUAAUUUAAGCUCCGUAAUCUAAAACGUGUGAAACACCAUCUCAGGGCAAACAGGAGAUGCUGUCGUUGUGUCUUUACGAGAGCCCUACAAAUGGUUGCGUGCUCUUCAAGAGAAGAAAAAGAAACAGGAGAACACAAAGAACUUGUCAAGCUUGAAGGGCUAUGCAGGCUUGCAAUCACGAGAUAUCGUGGGCUCCUGACCGUGGGCUGCCACGUGUAAACCCCGAUAAGGUGGGAUCUCCUGACAAUGUCACCAACAUAGAGACAGAUGCAUCUGCUUUACACCAUCCUUAGUUCAAGUUUAACUCAUUCAUUUGAUUUCCGCCCUUCAGUAAGGAAAAAACUUUACUGAGCAUUGGAGUCUGAAAUGUUUGUUACAUUAUCUCAGAGAUUGUUAUUCCACACCAAACUCAUCAGAUGCCCUCAUGAGUCGUGUUGCAGUCAUGUUGUUCCCUGGACAAAAAUAAGAUAGCAUCUACAAAAUUACAGGUUAAUUGAAGCAGGAGAAAGCUUUUGCUAUUAAAAUUUCUAAAGGAUAAAUGUGAAAUACAGUUGAGAGUUCAUUUUCAGCACUGGGAUUAACUUACAGCUCUUUCCUCUUUUUCUUUCUUUUUCUUUUCUUUUUUUUUUUUUUUUGAGGGCACAGCAGCCUCCAAGAGGUGGGAAGCACAUUCUUUUAACUUUAUAUUCUCCAGGUUGUCCCUGUCUAUGAGAAGAUAGUCCAUGAAAAUGUGUUGGAAUUAAUGAAAUCUGAAUUGAAUUCAAUGCAGGUAGUAAGUCAAGCCAGGCUGGCAAAAUUCCUUAUGAAACUGUGGGGUCAGUCAUCUUGAUUCAAAAUCCAUUUUGUGUUUGAUUGUGAGAUGCUACAGUGGGCUGUGCUAAAGGACAAUCAUGUUCUUAAUCGACUCCCCAGCCUAUGAGCUGGAAUGUGGAUGCUUUCAGUACUGUGAGGUCACCUGCUCCCCCCGACAGGAUCAUACAGGUUCUCUCUUCCUGAUUCUACUCAAACAGAUGGGGGCAUACUGGGCCUGAGCAGAAGAAGAAGUUAUCUAAGGGCCCACGCGUGCGGCAUGAUGAGAUAUCCCUGAUUAAGAAAUGUAGCCUGGCUGUAAUGCCUCCUGGAAGACUAAGUCAAUCGAAACGUUGGUUUUAGUUUACAGUUGUUGCAGAUGCAAAGACCGCAUGUACUCUGGCUCCUGUAGAAACUCCAGGAACAUUAAGUAAGACCAAAGUCUCACACCUUAAAUGCAGCAACGCUUGCAGUUUCAGACUCUCAGUGAAGUGUCUGCGUCCUGAGCAGUGACCCAGCACCUACACACCCCUCUGCAGCGAUGUCCACCCACAGUUGAGGGGUUCAUGUAGCACAGCUGUGCUACAAGCUUCUUCUGCAAGCUUCAGAGCAAACCUAAGUGUUUAGGGGCCUACAGGACCAAGACUCAUUCCACAGAAACUGAGAAGGUGUGGGUGCAAGGUACUGAGUCAUUUACAAAAGGUUUAUUUUGCAUGCAAGAUGAGAACCAGAAUGCGAAAACAGAAUUGGAAACUGUCACACAAGAGAAAGAAGACAAUUUGUGUCUAGGUGAUGUAUUUCUUGCUCCUAAUGGCCAUUGCCAUAGUGAGGGCGGUGGAUUCCUGACAGGGAGAAAAAAGGAAAAGAUUGCAGAGCUGUGGGAUAGCUGCACCUACCCAGAAUGGAGCAGAAGAGGGGUGGGGUGAGCACGAAGCUUGGUGCGCACAAGAAUGUGGUCCACUCUCCAAACAUGUGCAGGCAGCUCCCCAAGCGCAAUGCAGGCCCCACCACCGUGCGUUUCCUUGUACGAUAGACACCAAACGUCAACCACGCCUACUUAUGAGUAUGAAGUGUUUUCGCCUGGGCACGGUGGCUCACGCCUGUAAUCCCAGCACUUUGGGAGGCCGAGGCGGGUGGAUCACGAGCUCAGGAGAUCGAGACCAUGGUGAAACCCCGUCUCUACUAAAAAUACAAAAAAUUAGCCGGGCGUGGUGGCGGGCGCCUGUAGUCCCAGCUACUCGGGAGGCUGAGGCAGGAGAAUGGCGUGAACCUGGAAGGCGGAGCUUGAAGUGAGCUGAGAUCGCGCCACUGCACUCCAGCCUGGGCGACAGAGCGAGACUCCGUCUCAAAAAUAAAUAAAUAAAUAAAUAAAAAAUAAAGUAAAAUAAAAUGUUUUCAUGUUUCUUAG